CACUUGUUCUUUUAAGUUUAUACUUUAAUGAAAUUAAUAUCUUCGAAACAUCAAUCUAAUUAGUAGUUGUGAUCAAAAAUUAUUAGUUAAAAUAUUUAACAGUACCGCAGGGGAAAAAGAAUAUCUUCAAUAACAGUAGUUUGAUAUAGCGUACUUUUUGCAUCACGACCUAGCAAGAAAAAGGUAAAGAUUUAUUUUCUCGAAGAUCUGUGAGCUAUCUUAUUUUUGUUUUUAGAACAGAAUCAUUCUAAAUGUUGCAAAAUUUAAAUGAAAAAAUAAGAUAGAAAUGAUAUUUCUUCCGCACUGAUGAUAGCUAGUUUUCUUAGAAAUGUGUAAAAGUACACAAUGAAUAUAUUAGAUUAAGAAUGAUAAGAUUACAAUCAUUGUUAAUUUAAGUUCUGUUGGACUUUUUUGAGGAUAAGCUCGAAAAUUGCUGUUGAGAACUAUAUAAUUUAAAAUUAUUGUAUAGGCCUAAAAUUAGCCACUACGAGAGUUUGUUAUAAAACAAUAAGAAUACAUAAGAAUAUUAUUAUAUAUAAUGCCAUAUAAAGCUAUAAGAAUAAUAACCUAAAUUUAUAGGUUAGUAUGCCUAUGCUAGGAUGAGUAUUAAAACUAUUUAAGUUGAAAGAGAUAUUUCCUAAACUAAUAUUUUCUAUACUAAUUAAGGAGAAGGAAUUCGGCAAAUGUUGUUCCGCCUGUUUAUCAAAAACAUGGCUCUUUGAGGAAACCAUAUAAAGAGUCGAACCUGCCCAGUGAAUAAUUUUAACGGCCGCGGUACCCUGACCGUGCAAAGGUAGCAUAAUCAUUUGCCUUAUAAUUGAAGGCUGGCAUGAAUGGUCUGACGAGAGCAACACUGUCUCCUCUUUAUUACUUAAAAAUUAACUUAUAGGUGAAGAGGCCUAUAUUAAAUUGAAGGACAAGAAGACCCUGUCGAGCUUAAAAGAAAAGUUAGAAGUUAGCUAUUAAAUAAAAAUCAAUAAACUAUGUAGCUUUUUAGUUGGGGCGACUAAGGAACAAGUAAAGCUUCUUUUAUUUUAAUAAAUUUACAGAUUUGGAUCCAGCAAAGCUGAUCAAAGAAAUUAGUUACCGCAGGGAUAACAGCAUAAUCUCCUUUGAGAGACCUAAUCGAAAGGGGGGGUUGUGACCUCGAUGUUGGACUAGAAUAUCCUGAAGAUGCAGACGUCUUCGAGGGUUGGUCUGUUCGACCAUUAAAAUUCUACGUGAUCUGAGUUCA
Molecule: ribosomal RNA, 1234 nt
Filed under: Thiara amarula
Lineage: Eukaryota; Metazoa; Mollusca; Gastropoda; Thiaridae
Description: partial 16S ribosomal RNA
Rfam family: Archaeal large subunit ribosomal RNA (bases 614-1234)
Source: RNAcentral